Malus domestica (apple) is the source of this 369-nucleotide non-coding RNA. The record is from RefSeq and is a predicted model, not a curated record. NCBI's taxonomy places the organism in Eukaryota, Viridiplantae, Streptophyta, Magnoliopsida, Rosales, Rosaceae.
UGCGUAUCGAAUUCGUUUCGUAGCGUCCCUCAUCCAAGAUCUUCCCAUCAAAUGCAAUGCUCAUCUUAGUUUCCCUAUUUCUAAUAGCAUGGAUUGCACCAACCUCAACUGAGACUUCAUGAACAGAUGCAAAGGAUUUCGGCGAAAAGGGUUCAAGUUCUUUUGGAGCAUGCAUGUAUUGGAUACAAAAGAUAAAAUAAUAAUAAAUGGAAAUAAAAGCUGUUGUACUAAGGGCUGACCAAUUAUUAGCAGCCACCUACAUUUGGAAAUAUUUCUUCUUGUAUUCGGAACACAAUGUAGUACAACAUACGUCAUAAUAUAAGUGAAAGUACAAUAAAAAUAUACUCUAAAAUUGAGACAUAUCAAUCA